GACGAACGCUGGCGGCGUGCUUAACACAUGCAAGUCGAACGGAAAGGCCCUGCUUUUGUGGGGUGCUCGAGUGGCGAACGGGUGAGUAACACGUGAGUAACCUGCCCUUGACUUUGGGAUAACUUCAGGAAACUGGGGCUAAUACCGGAUAGGAGCUCCUGCUGCAUGGUGGGGGUUGGAAAGUUUCGGCGGUUGGGGAUGGACUCGGGGCUUAUCAGCUUGUUGGUGGGGUAGUGGCUUACCAAGGCUUUGACGGGUAGCCGGCCUGAGAGGGUGACCGGCCACAUUGGGACUGCGAUACGGCCCAGACUCCUACGGGAGGCAGCAGUGGGGAAUAUUGCACAAUGGGCGGAAGCCUGAUGCAGCAACGCCGCGUGCGGGAUGACGGCCUUCGGGUUGUAAACCGCUUUCGCCUGUGACGAAGCGUGAGUGACGGUAAUGGGUAAAGAAGCACCGGCUAACUACGUG
RNAcentral lists this ribosomal RNA (468 nucleotides) under uncultured bacterium. RNAcentral describes it as "partial 16S ribosomal RNA". It matches the Rfam family "Bacterial small subunit ribosomal RNA", at positions 28 to 507 of the family's 1533-position model. The record is from RNAcentral.